RNAcentral lists this ribosomal RNA (279 nucleotides) under uncultured bacterium. RNAcentral's name for it is "partial 16S ribosomal RNA". It matches the Rfam family "Bacterial small subunit ribosomal RNA", at positions 506 to 784 of the family's 1533-position model. The record is from RNAcentral.
UGCCAGCAGCCCCGGUAGUAUUGAAGGUGCAACCCUCAAUCGCAAACACUGGGCGUAAAGCGCUCGUAGGUGCCUUUGUAAGUCAGAUGUGAAAGCACACGGCUCAACCGUGGAAUUGCAUUUCAUACUGCAUCGCUAGAGUAUAGGAGAGGGAAGUGGAAUUUCUGGUGUAGGAGUGAAAUCCGUAGAGAUCAGAAGGAACACCGGUGGCGAAGGCGACUUCCUGGACUAUUACUGACACUGAGGAGCGAAAGCGUGGGGAGCAAACAGGAUUAGAUA